Molecule: unclassified non-coding RNA, 365 nt
Filed under: soil metagenome
Description: partial contains 5.8S ribosomal RNA, internal transcribed spacer 2, and large subunit ribosomal RNA
Rfam family: 5.8S ribosomal RNA (bases 1-119)
Source: RNAcentral
GAUGAAGAACGCAGCGAAAUGCGAUAAGUAAUGCGAAUUGCAGAAUCCGUGAGUCAUCGAAUCUUUGAACGCACAUUGCGCCCUCUGGUAUUCCGGGGGGCAUGCCUGUCCGAGCGUCAUUACAACCCUCAAGCCCGGCUUGUGUAAUGGGCGGCCGUCUCUCCCCCCGGGGGGAGACGCCCCCGAAACUCAGUGGGGAUGUCGCGAUACCGAAGCCUCAGCUAAUGGGUAAACCACAGCUGCAAUGGCCGCGGCCGGCGUCCGCCUUCCACGGUCCGUCCGCCUAGCGCGGGCGGCCUUCUCAAGGUUGACCUCGGAUCAGGUAGGGAUACCCGCUGAACUUAAGCAUAUCAAUAAGCGGAGGA